RNAcentral lists this ribosomal RNA (459 nucleotides) under uncultured bacterium. RNAcentral describes it as "partial 16S ribosomal RNA". It matches the Rfam family "Bacterial small subunit ribosomal RNA", at positions 338 to 795 of the family's 1533-position model. The record is from RNAcentral.
CCUACGGGUGGCAGCAGUGAGGAAUAUUGGUCAAUGGGCGCGAGCCUGAACCAGCCAAGUAGCGUGAAGGAUGACUGCUCUACGGGUUGUAAACUUCUUUUAUAAAGGAAUAAAGUGAGGCACGUGUGCCUUUUUGUAUGUACUUUAUGAAUAAGGAUCGGCUAACUCCGUGCCAGCAGCCGCGGUAAUACGGAGGAUCCGAGCGUUAUCCGGUUUUAUUGGGUUUAAAGGGUGCGUAGGCGGAUCGUUAAGUCAGUGGUCAAAUUGAGGGGCUCAACCCCUUCCCGCCAUUGAAACUGGCGUUCUUGAGUGGAAGAGAAGUAUGCGGAAUGCGUGGUGUAGCGGUGAAAUGCAUAGAUAUCACGCAGAACCCCGAUUGCGAAGGCAGCCUACUAAACUGCCACUGACAUUGAUGCUCGAAAGUGUGGGUAUCAAACAGGAUUAGAUACCCCUGUAGUC